GAUGAACGCUGGCGGCGUGCCUAAUACAUGCAAGUCGAGCGAACAGAUGAGGAGCUUGCUCCUCUGACGUUAGCGGCGGACGGGUGAGUAACACGUGGAUAACCUACCUAUAAGACUGGGAUAACUUCGGGAAACCGGAGCUAAUACCGGAUAAUAUAUUGAACCGCAUGGUUCAAUAGUGAAAGACGGUUUUGCUGUCACUUAUAGAUGGAUCCGCGCCGCAUUAGCUAGUUGGUAAGGUAACGGCUUGCCAAGGCAACGAUGCGUAGCCGACCUGAGAGGGUGAUCGGCCACACUGGAACUGAGACACGGUCCAGACUCCUACGGGAGGCAGCAGUAGGGAAUCUUCCGCAAUGGGCGAAAGCCUGACGGAGCAACGCCGCGUGAGUGAUGAAGGUCUUCGGAUCGUAAAACUCUGUUAUUAGGGAAGAACAAAUGUGUAAGUAACUAUGCACGUCUUGACGGUACCUAAUCAGAAAGCCACGGCUAACUACGUG
This 497-nucleotide ribosomal RNA is filed under the name uncultured bacterium. RNAcentral's name for it is "partial 16S ribosomal RNA". It matches the Rfam family "Bacterial small subunit ribosomal RNA", at positions 28 to 507 of the family's 1533-position model. The record is from RNAcentral.